ACGGCCUUAUCACGUUCAAAAUACCGGUUCCCGUACGGUCACCGAAGUUAAACAGCGUCGAGCCUGAUCAGUACCUAGAUGUGUGUCCGCUUGCGAAUAACAAGUAUUGUCA
Non-coding RNA from Acanthosepion pharaonis, 112 nucleotides. The record is from the annotation of a GenBank genome assembly. Lineage: Eukaryota; Metazoa; Mollusca; Cephalopoda; Sepiida; Sepiidae.